Molecule: long non-coding RNA, 12636 nt
Filed under: Triticum aestivum (bread wheat)
Lineage: Eukaryota; Viridiplantae; Streptophyta; Magnoliopsida; Poales; Poaceae
Description: long non-coding RNA (TAES_LNC019905)
Source: RNAcentral
UCGGUAUGAUCAUUCUUUCAUCAGUUUGUUCCCUGUUUCUUCUCUAGCCUGAGCCUGACACACUAUUCUAGCUAGACAUGGGUGUGGCUCGUGACACCUGAUGACCAAAUGGAUCUACGGCACCGUCGAAUCUCAAACUUUAACUGCCAAAACUAUUGUUUUUCAUCCUGUAGUCCCUUUUAGAAUUACGAAACGUCCUUUUUUGGGCCAUGAUUUCCAGGAAUGCUUUCUCGGGGUUUGUGUGCACGUAUUUCAAACCAUACGGACCUAAAAAUUAGAAGUCAUUCCAUCUUUAUUCCCCUAGAGCCUUCCGGCAGUUCCUAAACUGCUCUAUUUGGAGCAUGUUAUCAUUCUUGUUAGUUCUGAGUGAAUUCCCUCGGUAUGAUCAUUCUUUCAUCAGUUUGUUCCCCGUUUCUUCUCUAGUCUGAGCCUAGCACACUAUUCUAGCUAUUAAUGGGUGUGGAUCGUAACACCUGAUGAGCAAACGGAUCUACGGCACCAUCGAAUCUCAAACUUUAACUGCCAAAACUAUUGUUUUUCAUUCUGUAGUCCCUUUUCGAAUUAUUAAACGUCCUUUUUUGGGCCGAGAUUUCCAGGAACGCUUUCUCGGGGUUUGUGUGCAUGUAUUUCAAAUCAUACGGACCUAAAAAUUAGAAGGCAUUCCAUCUUUAUUCCCCUAGAGACUUCCAGCAGUUCCUAAACCGCUCCAGUCGGAGCAUGUUAUCAUUCUUGUUAGUUCUGAGCGAAUUCCCUCGGUAUGAUCAUUCUAUCAUCUGUUUGUUCCCUGUUUCUUCGCUAGCCUAAGCCUGACACACUAUUCUAGGUAGACAUGGGUGUGGCUCGUGACACCUAAUGACCAAACGGAUCUACGGCACCCUCGAAUCUCAAACUUUAACUACCAAAACUAUUGUUUUUCAUUCUGUAGUCCCUUUUAGAUUACUAAACAUCCUUUUUUGGGCUGAGAUUUCCAGGAACGCUUUCUCGGGGUUUGUGUGCAUGUAUUUCAAACCAAACGUUCCUAAAAUUAGAAGUCAUUCCAUCUUAAUUCCCCUAGAGCCUUCUAGCAAUUCCUAAACAGCUCUAGUCGGAGCAUGUUAUCAUUCUUGUUAAUUCUGAGCGAAUUCCCUCCGUAUGAUCAUUCUUUCAUCAGUUUGUUCUCCGUUUCUGCUCUAGUCUGAGCCUAGCACACUAUUCUAGCUAUUAAUGGGUGUGGAUCGUAACACCUAAUGACCAAACGGAUCUACGACACCAUCGAAUCUCAAACUUUAACUGCCAAAACUAUUGUUUUUCAUCCUGUAGUCCCUUUUCGAAUUAUUAAACGUCCUUUUUUGGGCCGAGAUUUCCAGGAACGCUUUCUCGGGGUUUGUGUGGAUGUAUUUCAAAUCAUACGGACCUAAAAAUUAGAAGGCAUUCCAUCUUUAUUCCCCUAGAGCCUUCCAGCAGUUCCUANNNNNNNNNNNNNNNNNNNNNNNNNNNNNNNNNNNNNNNNNNNNNNNNNNNNNNNNNNNNNNNNNNNNNNNNNNNNNNNNNNNNNNNNNNNNNNNNNNNNNNNNUCGCUAGCCUAAGCCUGACACACUAUUCUAGCUACACAUGGGUGUGGCUCGUGACACCUAAUGACCAAACAGAUCUACGGCACCGUCGAAUCUCAAACUUUAACUACCAAAACUAUUGUUUUUCAUUCUGUAGUCCCUUUUAAAUUACUAAACGUCAUUUUUUGGGCCGAGAUUUCUAGGAACGCUUUCUCGGGGUUUGUGUGCAUGUAUUUCAAGUCAUAUGGACCUAAAAAUUAGAAUCCAUUCCAUCUUUAUUCCCCUAGAGCCUUCCAGCAGUUCCUAAACUGCUCCAGUCGGAGCACAUUAUCAUUAUUGUUAGUUCUGACUGAAUUCCCUCGGUAUGAUCAUUCUUUCAUCAGUUUGUUCCCCGUUUCUGCUCUACUCUGAGCUUAACACACUAUUCUAGCUAGGCAUGGGUGUGGCUCGUAACACCUGAUGACCAAACGGAUCUACGAUACCGUCGAAUCUCAAACUUUGACUACGAAAACUAUUGUUUUUCAUUCUAUAGUCCCUUUUAGAAUUACUAAACGUCCUUUUUUGGGCCGAGAUUUCCAGGAACGCUUUCUCGGGGUUUGUGUGCACGUAUUUCAAACAAUACGGACCUAAAAAUUAGAAUUCAUUCCAUCUUUAUUCCCCUAGAGCCUUCCAGCAGUUCCUAAACCGCUCUAGUCGGAGCACUUUAUCAUUCUUGUUAGUUCUCAGCGAAUUCCCUCGGUAUGAUCAUUCUUUCAUCAGUUUGUUCCCCAUUUCUUCUCUAGCCUGAGCCUAACACACUAUUCUAGCUACACAUGGGUGUGGCUCGUCACACCCGAUGACCAAACGGAUCUACGGCACCGUCGAAUCUCAAACUUUAACUGCCAAAACUAUUGUUUUUCAUCCUGUAGUCCCUUUUAGAAUUACUAAACGUCCUUUUUUGGGUAGAUAUUUCUAGGAACGCUUUAUCGGGGUUUGUGUGCACGUAUUUCAGACCAUACGGACCUAAAAAUUAGAAGUCAUUCCAUCUUUAUUCCCCUAUAGCCUUCCAGCAGUUCCUAAACCGCUCCAGUCGGAGCCCGUUAUCAUUCUUGUUAGUUUUGAGCGAAUUCCCUCGGUAUGAUCAUUCUUUCAUCAGUUUGUUCCCCGUUUCUUCUCUAGUCUAAGCCUAGCACACUAGUUUAGCUAGACAUGGGUGUGGCUCGUAACACCUGAUGGCCAAACGGAUCUACGGCACCGUGAAAUCUCAAACUUUAACUGCCAAAACUAUUGUUUUUCAUCCUGUAGUCCCUUUUAGAAUUACUAAACGUCCUUUUUUGGGCUGAGAUUUCCAGGAACACUUUCUCGGGGUUUGUGUGCAUGUAUUUCAAACCAUAUGGACCUAAAAAUUAGAAGUCAUUCCAUCUUUAUUCCCCUAGAGCCUUCCAACAGUCCCUAAACCGCUCCAGUCCGAGCAUGUUAUCAUUCUUGUUAGUUCUGAGUGAAUUCCCUCGGUAUGAUCAUUCUUUCAUCAGUUUGUUCCCCAUUUCUUCUCUAGUCUGAGCCUAGCUCACUAUUCUAGCUAGACAUGGGUGUGGCUCAUAAUACCUGAUGACCAAACGGAUCUACGGCACCAUCGAAUCUCAAACUUUAACUGCCAAAACAAUUGUUUUUCAUCCUGUAGUCCCUUUUAGAAUUACUAAACGUCCUUUUUUGGGCCGAGAUUUCCAGGAACGCUUUCUCGGGGUUUGUGUGCACGUAUUUCAAACCAAGCGUUCUUAAAAAUUAGAAGUCAUUCCAUCUUUAUUCCCCUAGAGCCUUACAGCAGUUCCUAAACUGCUCCAGUCGGCGCACGUUAUCAUUCUUGUUAGUUCUGAGCGAAUUCCCUCGGUAUGAUCAUUCUUUCAUCAGUUUGUUCCCCGUUUCUUCUCUAGUUUGAGCCUAGCACACUAUUCUAGCUAGACAUGGGUGUGGGUCAUAACACCUGAUGACCAAACAGAUCGACGACACCAUCGAAUCUCAAACUUUAACUGCCAAAACUAUUGUUUUUCAUCCUGUAGUCCCUUUUAGAAUUACUAAACGUCCUUUUUUGGGUCGAGAUUUCCAAGAAAGCUUUCUCGGGCUUUGUGUGCACGUAUUUCAAACCAAAAAUUUCUAAAAAUUAGAAGUCAUUCCAUCUUUAUUCCCCUAGAGCCUUCCAGCAGUUCCUAAACAGCUCCAGUCGGAGCACGUUAUCAUUCUUGUUAGUUCUGAGCGAAUUCCCUCGGUAUGAUCAUUCUUUCAUCAGUUUGUUCCCCGUUUCUUCUAUAGUCUGAGCCUAUCACACUAUUCUAGCUAGACAUGGGUGUGGCUCGUAACACCUGAUGACCAAACGGAUCUACGGCACCAUCGAAUCUAAAACUUUAACUGCCAAAACUAUUGUUUUUCAUCCUGUAGUCCCUUUAGAACUACUAAAUGUCCUUUUUUGGGCCAAGAUUUCCAGGAACGCUUUCUCGGGGUUUGUGUGCAUGUAUUUCAAACCAUACGGACCUAAAAAUUAGGUCAUUCCAUCUUUAUUCCCCUAGAGCCUUCCAGCAGUUCCUAAACCGCUCCAGUCGGAGCAUGUUAUCAUUCUUGUUUGUUCUGAGUGAAUUCCCUCAGUAUGAUCAUUCUUUCAUCAUUUUGUUCCCCGUUUCUUCUCUAGUCUGAGCCUAGCACACUAUUCUAGCUAGACAUGGGUGUGGCUCGUAACACCUGACCAAACGGAUCUACGGCACCGUCGAAUCUCAAACUUUAACUGCCAAAACUAUUGUUUUUCAUCCUGUAGUCCCUUUUAAAUUUAAUAAACGUCCUUUUUUGGGCUGAGAUUUCCAGGAACGCUUUCGUGCGGUUUGUGUGCAAGUAUUUCAAAUCAUACAGACCUAUAAAUUAGAAGUCAUUUCAUCUUUAUUCCCCUAGAGCCUUCGAGCGGUUCCUAAACCGCUCAAGUCGGAGCAUGUUAUCAUUCUUGUUAGUUCUGAGUGAAUUCCCUCGGUAUGAUCAUUCUUUCAUCAGUUUGUUCCCCGUUCCUUCUCUAGUCUGAGCCUAGCACACUACUCUAGCUAGACAUGGGUUUGGCUCGUAACACCUGAUAACCAAACGGGUCUACGACACCAUCGAAUCUCAAACUUUUUUGGGCCAAGAUUUGCAGGAACGCUUUCUCGGGGUUUGUGUGCACGUAUUUCAAAUCAUGCGGACCUAAAAAUUAGAAGUCAUUCCAUAUUUGUUCCCCUAGAGCCUUCCAGCAGUUCCUAAACCGCUCCAGUUGGACCACGUUAUCAUUCUUGUUAGUUCUGAGUGAAUUACCUCGGUAUGAUCAUUCUUUCAUAAGUUUGUUCCCCGUUUCUUCUAUAGUCUGAGCCUAGCACACUACUCUAGCUAGACAUGGGAGUGGCUCGUAACACCUGAUGACCAAACAGAUCUAUGGCACCGUCGAAUCUCAAACUUUAACUGCCAAAACUAUUGUUUUUCAUCCUGUAGUCCCUUUUAGAAUUACUAAACGUCAUUUUUUGGGCUGAGAUUUCCAGGAACGCUUUCGCGGGGUUUGUGUGCACGUAUUUCAAACCAUAGGGACCUAAAAAUUAGAAGUCAUUCCAUCUUUAUUCCCCUAGAGCCUAACACACUAUUCUAGCUAGACAUGGGUGUGGCUCGUAACACCUGAUGACAAAACGGAUCUACGGCACCAUCGAAUCUCAAACUUUAACUGCCAAAAUUAUUGUAUUUCAUCCUGUAGUCCCUUUUAGAAUUAUUAAACGUCCUUUUUUUGGGCUGUGAUUUCCAUGAACGCUUUCUCGGGGUUUCUGUGCACGUAUUUCAAAUCAUACGGACCUAAAAAUUAGAAGUCAUUCCAUCUUUAUUCCCCUAGAGCCUUCCAACAGUUCCUAAACCGCUCCAGUCGGAGCACAUUAUCAUUCUUGUUAGUUCUGAGUGAAUUCCCAUGGUAUGAUCAUUCUUUCAUUAGUUUGUUCCCCGUUUCUUCUCUAGUCUGAGCCUACCACACUAUUCUAGCUAGACAUGGGUGUGGCUCAUAACACCUUAUGACCAAACGGAUCUACGGCACCAUCGAAUCUCAAACUUUAACCGCCAAAACUAUUGUUUUUCAUCAUGUAGUCCCUUUUAGAAUUACUAAACGUCCUUCUUUGGGCAGAGAUUUCCAGGAAUGCUUUAUCGGGGUUUGUGUGCACGUAUUUCAGACCAUACGGACCUAAAAAUUAGAAGUCAUUCCAUCUUUAUUCCCCUAGAGCCUUCCAAUAGUUCCUGAACCGCUCCAGUCGGAGCAUGUUAUCAUUCUUGUUAGUUCUGAGCGAAUUCCCUCGGUAUGAUCAUUCUUUCAUCAGUUUGUUUCCCGUUUCUUCUCUAGUCUGAGCCUAGCACACUACUCUAGCUAGACAUUGGUGUGGCUCGUAACACCUGAUGACCAAACGGAUCUACGGCACUGUCAAAUCUCAAACUUUAACUGCCAAAACUAUUGUUUUUCAUCCUGUAGUCCCUUUUAGAAUUACUAAACGUCCUUUUUUGGGCCGAUAUUUCCAGGAACGCUUUCUUGGGGUUUGUGUGCAUGUAUUUCAAACCAUAUGGAACUAAAAAUUACAAGUCAUUCCAUCUUUAUUCCCCUAGAGCCUUCCAGCAGUUCCUAAACCGCUCCAAUCGGAGCAUGUUAUCAUUCUUGUUAAUUCUGAGUGAAUUCCCUUGGUAUGAUCAUUCUUUCAUCAGUUUGUUCCCGAUUUCUUCUCCAGUCUGAGCCUAGCUCACUAUUCUAGCUAGACAUGGGUGUGGCUCAUAAUACCUGAUGACCAAACGGAUCUACGACACCAUCGAAUCUCAAACUUUAACUGCCAAAACUAUUGUUUUUCAUCUUGUAGUCCCUUUUAGAAUUACUAAACGUCCUUUUGUGGGCUGAGAUUUCCAGGAACGCUUUAUCGGGGUUUGUGUGCUCGUAUUUCAGACCAUACGGACCUAAAAAUUAGAACUCAUUCCAUCUUUAUUCCCCUAGAGCCUUCCAGCAGCUCCUAAACCGCUCCAGUCGAGCACGUUAUCAUUCUUGUUAGUUCUGAGCAAAUUCCCUCGUUAUGAUCAUUCUUUCAUCAGUUUGUUCCCCGUUUCUUCUCUGGUCUGAGCCUAGCACACUAUUCUAGCUAUUAAUGGGUGUGGAUCGUAACACUUGAUGAUCAAACAGAUCUACGGCACCAUCGAUUCUCAAACUUUAACUGCCAAAACUAUUGUUUUUCAUCCUGUAGUCCCUUUUAGAAUUAUUAAACGUCCUUUUUUGGGCCGAGAUUUCUAGGAACGCUGUCUCGGGGUUUGUGUGCACGUAUUUCUAAUCAUACGGACCUAAAAAUUAGAAGUCAUUCCAUAUUUAUUCCCCUAGAGCCUUCCAGCAGUUCCUAAACCGCUCAAGUCGGAGCACGUUAUCAUUCUUGUUAGUUCUUAGCGAAUUCCCUCGAUAUGAUCAUUCUUUCAUCAGUUUGUUCCCCGUUUCUUCUCUAGCCUGAGCCCGACACACUAUUCUAGCUAGACAUGGGUGUGGCUCGUAACACCUAAUGACCAAACGGAUCUACGGCACCGUUGAAUCUCAAACUUUAACAGCCAAAAUUAUUGUUUUUCAUUAUGUAGUCUCUUUUAAAUUACUAAACGUCAUUUUUUGAGCUGAGAUAUCCAGGAACGCUUUCUCGGGGUUUUUGUGCACGUAUUUCAAAUCAUACGGACCUGAAAAUUAGAAGUCAUUCCAUCUUUAUUCCCCUAGAGCCUUCCAGCAGUUCCUAAACCGCUCCAGUUGGACCACGUUAUCAUUCUUGUUAGUUCUGAGUGAAUUACCUUAGUAUGAUCAUUCUUUCAUCAGUUUGUUCCCUGUUUCUUCUAUAGUCUGAGCCUAGCACACUACUCUAGCUAGACAUGGGUGUGGCUCGUAACACCUGAUGACCAAACAGAUCUACGGCACCGUCGAAUCUCAAACUUUAACUGCCAAAACUAUUGUUUUUCAUCCUGUAGACCCUUUUAGAAUUACUAAACGUCCUUUUUUGGGCUGAGAUUUCCGGGAACGCUUUCACGGGGUUUGUGUGCACGUAUUUUAAACCAUAUGGACCUAAAAAUUAGAAGUCAUUCCAUCUUUAUUCCCAUAGAGCCUAACACACUAUUCUAGCUAGAUAUGGGUGUGGCUCGUAACACCUGAUGACCAAACGGAUCUACGGCACCAUCGAAUCUCAAACUUUAACUGCCAAAACUAUUGUAUUUCAUCAUGUAGUCCCUUUUAGAAUUAUUAAACGUCCUUUUUUAGGGCCGUGAUUUCCAUGAACGCUUUCUUGGGGUUUCUGUGCAUGUAUUUCAAAUCAUACGGACCUAAAAAUUAGAAGUCAUUCCAUCUUUAUUCCCCUAGAGCCUUCCAGCAGUUCCUAAACCGCUUCAGUCGGAGCACGUUAUCAUUCUUGUUAGUUCUGAGUGAAUUCCCUUGGUAUGAUCAUUCUUUCAUCAGUUUGUUCCCCGUUUCUUCUCUAGUCUGAGCCUAGCACACUAUUCUAGCUAGACAUGGGUGUGGCUCAUAACACCUCAUGACCAAACGGAUCUACGGCACCAUCGAAUCUCAAACUUUAACUGCCAAAACUAUUGUUUUUCAUCCUGUAGUCCCUUUUAGAAUUACUAAACGUCCUUUUUUGGGCAGAUAUUUCCAGGAACGCUUUAUCGGGGUUUGUGUGCUCGUAUUUCAGACCAUACGGACCUAAAAAUUAGAACUCAUUCCAUCUUUAUUCCCCUAUAGCCUUCCAGCAAUUCCGAAACCACUCUAUUCGGAGCACGUUAUCAUUCUUGUUAGUUCUAAAAGAAUUCCCUCGGUAUGAUCAUUCUUUCAUCAGUUUAUUUCCCGUUUCUUCUCUAGUCUAAGCCUAGCACACUAGUCUAGCUAGACAUGGGUGUGGCUCGUAACACCUGAUGACCAAACGGAUCUACGGCACCGUCAAAUCUCAAACUUUAACUGCCAAAACUAUUGUUUUUCAUCCUGUAGUCCCUUUAGAAUUACAAAAGGUCCUUUUUUGGGCCGAGAUUUCCAGGAACACUUUCUCGGGGGUUUGUGUGCAUGUAUUUCAAACCAUAUGGACCUAAAAAUUAGAAGUCAUUCCAUCUUUAUUCCCCUAGAGCCUUCCAGCAGUUCCUAAACCGCUCCAGUCGGAGCAUGUUAUCAUUCUUGUUAGUUCUGAGUGAAUUCCCUCGGUAUGAUCAUUCUUUCAUCAGUUUGUUCCCCAUUUCUUCUCUAGUCUGAGCCUAGCUCACUAUUCUAGCUAGACAUGGGUGUGGCUCGUAAUACCUGAUGACCAAAUGGAUCUACGGCACCAUCGAAUCUCAAACUUUUACUGCCAAAACUAUUGUUUUUCAUCCUGUAGUCCCUUUUAGAAUUACUAAACGUCCUUUUUUGGGCUGAGAUUUCCAGGAACGCUUUCUUGGGGUUUGUGUGCACGUAUUUCAAACCAAGCGUUCCUAAAAAUUAGAAGUCAUUCCAUCUUUAUUCCCCUAGAGCCUUACAGCAGUUCCUAAACUGCUCCAGUCGGCGCACGUUAUCAUUCUUGUUAGUUCUGAGUGAAUUCCCUCGGUAUGAUCAUUCUUUCAUCAGUUUGUUCCCCGUUUCUUCUCUAGUCUGAGCCUACCACACUAUUCUAGCUAGACAUGGGUGUGGCUCAUAACACCUUAUGACCAAACGGAUCUACGGCACCAUCGAAUCUCAAACUUUAACUGCCAAAACUAUUGUUUUUCAUCCUGUAGUCCCUUUUAGAAUUACUAAACGUCCUUUUUUGGGCAGAUAUUUCCAGGAAUGCUUUAUCGGGGUUUGUGUGCACGUAUUUCAGACCAUACGGACCUAAAAAUUAGAAGUCAUUCCAUCUUUAUUCCCCUAUAGCCUUCCACCAGUUCCUAAACCACUCCAGUCGGAGCACGUUAUCAUUCUUGUUAGUUCUGAGCGAAUUCCCUCGGUAUGAUCAUUCUUUCAUCAGUUUAUUCCCCGUUUCUUCUCUAGUCUAAGCCUAGCACACUAGUCUAGCUAGACAUGGGUGUGGCUCGUAACACCUGAUGACCAAACGGAUCUACGGCACCGUCAAAUCUCAAACUUUAACUGCCAAAACUAUUGUUUUUCAUCCUGUAGUCCCUUUUAGAAUAACUAAACGUCCUUUUUUGGGCCGAGAUUUCCGGGAACACUUUCUCGGGGUUUGUGUGCAUGUAUUUCAAACCAUAUGGACCUAAAAAUUAGAAGUCAUUCCAUCUUUAUUCCCCUAGAGCCUUCCAGCAGUUCCUAAACCGCUCCAGUCGGAGCAUGUUAUCAUUCUUGUUAGUUCUGAGUGAAUUCCCUCGGUACGAUCAUUCUUUCAUCAGUUUGUUCCCCGUUUCUUCUCUAGUCUGAGCCUAGCUCACUAUUCUAGCUAGACAUGGGUGUGGCUCAUAAUACCUGAUGACCAAACGGAUCUACGGCACUAUCGAAUCUCAAACUUUAACUGCCAAAACUAUUGUUUUUCAUCCUGUAGUCCCUUUUAGAAUUACUAAACGUCCUUUUUUGGGCCGAGAUUUCCAGGAACGCUUUCUUGGGGUUUGUGUGCAUGUAUUUCAAACCAAGCGUUCCUAAAAAUUAGAAGUCAUUCCAUCUUUAUUCCCCUAGAGCCUUACAGCAGUUCCUAAACUGCUCCAGUCGGCGCACGUUAUCAUUCUUGUUAGUUCUGAGCGAAUUCCCUCGGUAUGAUCAUUCUUUCAUCAGUUUGUUCCCCAUUUCUUCUCUAGUUUGAGCCUAGCACACUAUUCUAGCUAGACAUGGGUGUGGGUCAUAACACCUGAUGACCAAACAGAUCGACGACACCAUCGACUCUCAAACUUUAACUGCCAAAACUAUUGUUUUUCAUCCUGUAGUCCCUUUUAGAAUUACUAAACGUCCUUUUUUGGGCCGAGAUUUCCAAGAACGCUUUCUCGGGGUUUGUGUGCACGUAUUUCAAACCAAACAUUCCUAAAAAUUAGAAGUCAUUCCAUCUUUAUUCCCCUAGAGCCUUCCAGUAGUUCCUAAACAGCUCCAGUCGGAGGACGUUAUCAUUCUUGUUAGUUCUGAGUGAAUUCCCUCGGUAUGAUCAUUCUUUCAUCAGUUUGUUCCCUGUUUCUUCUCUAGUAUGAGCCUCGCACACUAUUCUAGCUAUUAAUGGGUGUGGAUCGUAACACCUGAUGACCAAACGGAUCUACGGCACCAUCGAAUAUCAAACUUUAACUGCCAAAACUAUUGUUUUUCAUUCUGUAGUCCCUUUUAAAUUACUAAAUGUCAUUUUUGGGCUGAGAUAUCCAGGAACGCUUUCUCGGGGUUUGUGUGCAUGUAUUUCAAAUCAUACGGACCUAAAAAUUAGAAGUCAUUCCAUCUUUAUUCCCCUAGAGCCUUCCAGCAGUUCCUAAACCACUCCAGUCGGAACACGUUGUCAUUAUUGUUAGUUCUGAGUGAAUUCCCUCGGUAUGAUCAUUCUUUCAUCAGUUUUUUCCCCGUUUCUUCUAUAGUCUGAGCCUAUCACACUAUUCUAGCUAGACAUGGGUGUGGCACGUAACACCUGAUGACCAAACGGAUCUACGGCACCGUCGAAUCUCAAACUUUAACUGCCAAAACUAUUGUUUUUCAUCCUGUUGUCCCUUUAGAAUUACUAAAUGUCCUUUUUUGGGCCGAGAUUUCCAGGAACGCUUUCUCGGGAUUUGUGUGCAUGUAUUUCAAACCAUACGGACCUACAAAUUAGGUCAUUCCAUCUUUAUUCCCCUAGAGCCUUCCAGCAGUUCCUAAACUGCUCCAGUCGGAGCACGUUAUCAUUCUUGUUUGUUCUCAGCGAAUUCCCUCGGUAUGAUCAUUCUUUCAUCAUUUUGUUCCCCGUUUCUUCUCUAGUCUAAGCCUAGCACACUAUUCUAGCUACACAUGGGUGUGGCUCGUAACACCUGAUGACCAAACGGAUCUACGGCACCGUCGAAUCUCAAACUUUAACUGCCAAAACUAUUGUUUUUCAACCUAUAGUCCCUUUUAAAUUUACUAAACGUCCUUUUUUGGGCUGAGAUUUCCAGGAACGCUUUCGUGCGGUUUGUGUGCAAGUAUUUGAAAUCAUACGGACCUAUAAAUUAGAAGUCAUUUCAUCUUUAUUCCCCUAGAGCCUUCGAGCGGUUCCUAAACCGCUCCAGUCGGAGCAUGUUAUCGUUCUUGUUAGUUCUGAGUGAAUUCCCUCGGUAUGAUCAUUCUUUCAUCAGUUUGUUCCCCAUUUCUUCUCUAGUCUGAGCCUAGCACACUACUCUAGCUAGACAUGGGUUUGGCUUGUAACACCUGAUAACCAAACGGGUCUACGACACCAUCGAAUCUCAAACUUUUUUGGGCCGAGAUUUCCAGGAACGCUUUCUCGGGGUUUGUGUGCACGUAUUUCAAAUCAUGCGGACCUAAAAAUUAGAAGUCAUUCCAUAUUUAUUCCCCUAGAGCCUUCCAGCAGUUCCCAAACCGCUCCAGUCGGAGCAUGUUAUCAUUCUUGUUAGUUCUGAGCGAGUUCCCUCGGUAUGAUCAUUCUUUCAUCAGUUUGUUCCCUGUUUCUUCUCUAGCCUGAGCCUGACACACUAUUAUAGCUAGACAUGGGUGUGGCUCGUGACACCUGAUGACCAAAUGGAUCUACGGCACCGUCGAAUCUCAAACUUUAACUGCCAAAACUAUUGUUUUUCAUCCUGUAGUCCCUUUUAGAAUUACGAAACGUCCUUUUUUGGGCCAUGAUUUCCAGGAAUGCUUUCUUGGGGUUUGUGUGCACGUAUUUCAAACCAUACGGACCUAAAAAUUAGAAGUCAUUCCAUCUUUAUUCCCCUAGAGCCUUCCAGCAGUUCCUAAACUGCUCUAUUUGGAGCAUGUUAUCAUUCUUGUUAGUUCUGAGUGAAUUCCCUCGGUAUGAUCAUUCUUUCAUCAGUUUGUUCCCCGUUUCUUCUCUAGUCUGAGCCUAGCACACUAUUCUAGCUAUUAAUGGGUGUGGAUCGUAACACCUGAUGAGCAAACGGAUCUACGGCACAAUCGAAUCUCAAACUUUAACUGCCAAAACUAUUGUUUUUCAUUCUGUAGUCCCUUUUCGAAUUAUUAAACGUCCUUUUUUGGGCCGAGAUUUCCAGG